Molecule: ribosomal RNA, 250 nt
Filed under: uncultured bacterium
Lineage: Bacteria
Description: partial 16S ribosomal RNA
Rfam family: Bacterial small subunit ribosomal RNA
Source: RNAcentral
UACGUAGGGUGCAAGCGUUGUUCGGAAUUAUUGGGCGUAAAGCGCGUGUAGGCGGCUUUCUAAGUCUGAUGUGAAAUCCCGGGGCUUAACCCCGGAACUGCAUUGGAUACUGGUUAGCUAGAGGACGAUAGGGGGAAGCAGAAUUCCUGGUGUAGGGGUGAAAUCCGUAGAUAUCAGGAGGAACAUCGGUGGCGAAGGCGGCUUCCUGGAUCGUUACUGACGCUGAGACGCGAAAGCGUGGGGAGCAAAC